RNAcentral lists this ribosomal RNA (657 nucleotides) under Dictyuchus monosporus. RNAcentral's name for it is "LSU rRNA". It matches the Rfam family "Eukaryotic large subunit ribosomal RNA", at positions 76 to 630 of the family's 3401-position model. Lineage: Eukaryota; Oomycota; Saprolegniomycetes; Saprolegniales; Achlyaceae. The record is from RNAcentral.
UCCCCUAGUAACGGCGAGUGAAGCGGGAAGAGCUCAAGCUUAAAAUCUCCAUAUCUUUGAUAUGGCGAAUUGUAGUCUAUAGAAGCGAUUAUCAGCAUAGCAAUAUGGGAAAAGUCCCUUGGAAAAGGGCAGCAUAGAGGGUGAUACUCCCGUCUUUGCCCAGGUUGUCUAUGUGUACGAUACGUUUUCUUUGAGUCGAGUUGUUUGGGAAUGCAGCUCAAAGUAGGUGGUAAAUUCCAUCUAAAGCUAAAUAUUGGUGCAAGACCGAUAGCGAACAAGUACCGUGAGGGAAAGAUGAAAAGAACUUUGAAAAGAGAGUUAAAGAGUACCUGAAACUGUUGAAAGGGAACCGUAACAUGUCCAGUGUUGUAUCUCUUAUAUAUUUCAUUAGUACAGCAAUGCACUGGUGCCCUGUAUAAGAGUGUGACGUCAAAGUCAGUUUGUAUAUUGCGGGAGAUGGUUAGUAAGGAGGUGCGUCACUUUUGUGUCAGUUAUACCUUAUUAUCUAGUAGCCGUGGUAGAGACUGAGGUGCCUACAACAUGCUUUUCAAGUCUAUGUUUGUCUCGUUGUUCUAUUUGUUUGGAUAGCUUGCUAUGCUAAUGAACUAGAGUAGCGAUUGAUAGAUAUAGUAACUUGUUGCUGUUCGGGACUUUGAC